This 102-nucleotide non-coding RNA is filed under the name Francisella tularensis. RNAcentral describes it as "TPP sequence". It matches the Rfam family "TPP riboswitch aptamer (THI element)". From Rfam's summary of the family: Vitamin B(1) in its active form thiamin pyrophosphate (TPP) is an essential coenzyme that is synthesised by coupling of pyrimidine and thiazole moieties in bacteria. The previously detected thiamin-regulatory element, thi box was extended, resulting in a new, highly conserved RNA secondary structure, the THI element, which is widely distributed in eubacteria and also occurs in some archaea. Analysis of operon structures identified a large number of new candidate thiamin-regulated genes, mostly transporters, in various prokaryotic organisms. RNAcentral also lists the same sequence under 2 other names. Lineage: Bacteria; Pseudomonadati; Pseudomonadota; Gammaproteobacteria; Thiotrichales; Francisellaceae. The record is from RNAcentral.
AAAAGACAACAGGGGUGCUGUUUUUAUUAAAAAUGGCUGAGAAGUGACCCUUUGUACCUGAUCUAAGUAAUAUUAGCGUAGGGAGUUUGUUUGGUUAUCUUU